RNAcentral lists this ribosomal RNA (493 nucleotides) under uncultured bacterium. RNAcentral describes it as "partial 16S ribosomal RNA". It matches the Rfam family "Bacterial small subunit ribosomal RNA", at positions 28 to 507 of the family's 1533-position model. The record is from RNAcentral.
GACGAACGCUGGCGGCGUGCUUAACACAUGCAAGUCGAACGGAAAGGCCUCUUUCGGGGGGUACUCGAGUGGCGAAUGGGUGAGUAACACGUGGAUAACCUACCUAUAAGACUGGGAUAACUUCGGGAAACCGGAGCUAAUACCGGAUAAUAUAUUGAACCGCAUGGUUCAAUAGUGAAAGACUGUUUUCCUGUCACUUAUAGAUGGAUCCGCGCCGCAUUAGCUAGUUGGUAAGGUAACGGCUUACCAAGGCAACGAUGCGUAGCCGACCUGAGAGGGUGAUCGGCCACACUGGAACUGAGACACGGUCCAGACUCCUACGGGAGGCAGCAGUAGGGAAUCUUCCGCAAUGGGCGAAAGCCUGACGGAGCAACGCCGCGUGAGUGAUGAAGGUCUUCGGAGCGUAAAACUCUGUUAUUAGGGAAGAACAAAUGUGUAAGUAACUAUGCACGUAUUGACGGUACCUAAUCAGAAAGCCACGGCUAACUACGUG